RNAcentral lists this long non-coding RNA (606 nucleotides) under Homo sapiens (human). RNAcentral describes it as "HSALNT0041527". The record is from RNAcentral. Lineage: Eukaryota; Metazoa; Chordata; Mammalia; Primates; Hominidae.
GCCCCUAUUUAGACUGCAGCCCUUUCCUGUAUACUCCAAUGUCUUUAUGCCCAGCAGGUCGUUUGACUAGGAUAAACAGAUUGACAUACAUAUAUCCAGGAAGGUUGGUUCUUUGACUGUACCGGAUUCUACCUUCUCACAAGCCUCUCUGUUUUUCAGAUCUAAUCUCUCCCUCAUGAAAACCGCCAAGGCACUGCACUGAAUAUGAGAUGACUCUAGCCACUGUGUGGUGGUGGUACACAGGCACCUAUUUUAGCAAUAUAAGCUGUUUCUGGUGACAGAGGCUUUGAGUGCAACUCAUAGGUCAUUGUAAAUUAUCAAAGGGAGGCAGAAAAUAUUGCAAGUGCAUUCACUGUGUCUUUACCGAGCUAAUGUGGUCCUGUGUUUGUUUCACUCUCAUCAUCUCAGGUGUCUUUCCGAUAGCCGUUCCUGGUGAGACAUCCUCUUUAUAUAAAACCUGGGCAUUCAGAAUCAGGACAGUGUUAACACAGAAGAAAAGAAAACCCAGCAGUUCCUGGAGAAAGACUAGGACACAUGGCUUUUGUGAAAACAAGACACUAGACGAUGUUCCCAGGGGUUUUCGCCAUGAACCUUGCCAUGGGUGAG